This 507-nucleotide ribosomal RNA is filed under the name uncultured Clostridium sp. RNAcentral's name for it is "bacterial SSU rRNA". It matches the Rfam family "Bacterial small subunit ribosomal RNA", at positions 1 to 526 of the family's 1533-position model. The record is from RNAcentral. Lineage: Bacteria; Bacillati; Bacillota; Clostridia; Eubacteriales; Clostridiaceae.
AUUAGAGUUUGAUCAUGGCUCAGGACGAACGCUGGCGGCGUGCCUAACACAUGCAAGUCGAGCGAAUGAAGUUCCCUCGGGAAUGGAUUUAGCGGCGGACGGGUGAGUAACACGUGGGCAACCUGCCUCAUAGAGGGGAAUAGCCUUCCGAAAGGGAGAUUAAUACCGCAUAAGAUUGUAGUACCGCAUGGUACAGCAAUUAAAGGAGGAAUCCGCUAUGAGAUGGGCCCGCGGCGCAUUAGCUAGUUGGUGAGGUAACGGCUCACCAAGGCGACGAUGCGUAGCCGACCUGAGAGGGUGAUCGGCCACAUUGGGACUGAGACACGGCCCAGACUCCUACGGGAGGCAGCAGUGGGGAAUAUUGCACAAUGGGGGAAACCCUGAUGCAGCAACGCCGCGUGAGUGAUGACGGCCUUCGGGUUGUAAAGCUCUGUCUUCAGGGACGAUAAUGACGGUACCUGAGGAGGAAGCCACGGCUAACUACGUGCCAGCAGCCGCGGUAAUAAU